CAGGGGAGGGAGGAGCCUGCGCGGGGCUCGUGUUCGCCCAGGAAUCCCGGAGAAGCUCGAAGACGGUCUGGUGUUGAACGCACACGUGGACUCCAUUUCAUUACCACCUUGCAGCUCUUGCGCCACGGAGGCUGCUGCUGCCCGGCGGCUGCUACCCACCGAGACCCACGUGGCCCCUCCCCAGGGGUGUAGGGGUGACGGUUGUCUUCUGGUGACAGCAGAGGUGUUGGGUUUGCGACUGAUCUCUAACGAGCUUGAGGCGCAAACCUAGGAUUCCCUGAGUGUUGGGGUGCGGCGGGGGGGCAAGCAAGGUGGGACGACGCCUGCCUGGUUUCCCUGACUAGUUGCGGGGGGUGGGGGCCGGCUCUCAGGGGCCACCAGAAGCUGGGUGGGUGUACAGGAAAAUAUUUUUCUCCUGCCGUGUUUGGCUUUUUCCUGGCAUUUUUGCCCAGGGCGAAGAACUGUCGCGCGGGGCAGCUCCACCGCGGAGGGAGAGGGGUCGCGAGGCUGGCGCGGGAAGCGCUGUAGGUGGCAGUCAUCCGUCCACGCCGCACAGGCCGUCUGCGCCGUCGGACCAUCGGGAGGUCUGGGCUGCCGGGGGAGGCCGAGCGGCUGCUGCAGCCUCCCUGCUGCCAGGGGCGUCGGACUCCGCUUCGCUCACUACGCCCAGGCCCCUCAGGGGCCCACGCUCAGGACUUCGGGGCCACACAGCAGGACCCGGUGCCCCGACGACGAGUUUGCGCAGGACCCGGGCUGGGCCAGCCGCGGAGCUGGGGAGGAAGGGGCGGGGGUCGGUGCAGCGGAUCUUUUCUGUUGCUGCCUGUGCGGCGGCAGGAAGCGUCUUGAGGCUCCCCAAGACUACCUGAGGGGCCGCCCAAGCACUUCAGAAGCCCAAGGAGCCCCCGGCCACCCCCGCUCCUGGCCUUUUUGCCAACGACUUUGAAAGUGAAAUGCACAAGCACCAGCAAUUGACUUCCCUUCCGUGGUUAUUUAUUUUGUCUUUGUGGAUGGUGGGCAGAUGGGGAGAGAGGCCCCUACCUAACCUCGGUGGCUGGUCCCUAGACCACCCCUGCCAGCCGGUGUGGGGAGGAGCUCAGGUCCGCGGGAGAGCGAAUGGGCGCCAGGAGGUGGGACAGAAUCCUGGGAAGGUACAGCGGACGCCCUGGAAGCUCCCCUGAUGCCCCAGAGGGCCCUUCCUGGGAAACCUCCCGGGGGGGUGCCCCAUACCAUCCCACCCGGCUGUCUUGGCCCCUCCCAGGGAGCCGCAGGAGAAACUAGCCCUACACCUGGGAUUCCCAGAGCCUUCUGCUGGGGCUCCUGCCCCCGACUUCGGAUAACCAGCUCCGCACAGGUCCCCGAGAAGGGCCGCUGGCCUGCUUAUUUGAUACUGCCCCCUCCCAGACAGGGGCUGGUCGAGCCCCUGGUUCUGCUGCCAGACUGAAGCCUUCCAGACGCCACCUCGGUUUGGGCCCCCAGGGCCCUCAGGGGCCCCAGGAGAGGAGAGCUGCUAUCUAGCUCAGCCACAGGCUCG
This 1531-nucleotide long non-coding RNA is filed under the name Homo sapiens (human). Its description in RNAcentral is "HSALNT0246004". The record is from RNAcentral. Lineage: Eukaryota; Metazoa; Chordata; Mammalia; Primates; Hominidae.